Molecule: ribosomal RNA, 294 nt
Filed under: uncultured bacterium
Lineage: Bacteria
Description: partial 16S ribosomal RNA
Rfam family: Bacterial small subunit ribosomal RNA
Source: RNAcentral
GUGCCAGCAGCCGCGGUAAGACGAACCGUGCGAACGUUAUUCGGAAUCAUUGGGCUUAAAGGGCGCGUAGGCGGAUGACUGCGUCGAGUGCUGAAAUCCCCCGGCUUAACCGGGGAAUGGGCCUCGAAACGGGUCGUCUCGAGGCGAGGAGAGGGACCUGGAACAUCCGGUGGAGCGGUGAAAUGCGUUGAGAUCGGAUGGAACACCAAUGGCGAAAGCAAGGUCCUGGACUCGUAUCUGACGCUGAGGCGCGAAAGCCAGGGGAGCGAACGGGAUUAGAUACCCUAGUAGUCC